CAUAUUAAAAAAUGUUCAAAUAAAUUUUUUAAUAUAAUGAUUGUGUUUUUGUAAUAACAUUUAUAUAUAUGUAUGUGUAAACAUAAGUAUUUGCAUAUGAUUUAUACACAUUUUUUUUUUCAAGCAUUUUACAAAAUGUAUAUAAAAAAAAAAAUAAAAUAAAAUAAAAUAAAAAUAAAAAUAUAAUUUAAUAUUUAAAAACUAUUACAACUUCUUACACUAUGUUAUUCCUUUUUCACAAAUAAUUCUCAAUAAAAUGUUAUGAAGCAAAUCACAAAAAAAACGUUAGAAUUAUUAAAAAAUGAGUAGUGCUUAUGCAUAUAAGUAUAUACACAUAAAUAUAUUUUUUUUUAAUAAGCAAAAUAAAAAUUAUGUUAACUUUAUUUUGUUGCUAUUUUAAUUCCUUUAAAGUCGUUACUAAUUUUAACAACAUUUUUCUCAAUUAAACAUUUAGGGUUAUAUUAAAAAAAAAGAAAAAAAAAAAUGUCAUUAUUUGUUAAAAAAUACGAAAUUUUAUUUUAACAAUAACAAUAUACACACACACCUUUUGAAAUACAUUUUAUUUAAUUGUUUUUAUCGAUUUAUUUUCUUUUUACUAAAAUAACAAAUAAUUUUUUAUUAUUUUAAAAAAAAAAAAUACGACAGAACAAAACAAAAUAACACACUCGCAUAUUUAGAUUCAUUUUCAUUAAAUUAUACAAUUUUUAUUUUCUAAAUGGACAAGUACAAGCUGUCUAAAGAAAGGAGAGAUGAAUUAGAGUUUAUAUUUAAUGAAUUCAAUAAAAAGAAAAAAAGGAUUAGAUGGAAACACGUUGUUAUAUAUUUUAAAAUCAAUGGGUAUAUUCCUUAAUAAAAGCGAAUCAGCCGCUUUGUUAGAUGAAUGUAAACAAAACGGUAAUUUAAAUUUAAAUAAUUUUUACGCUAUUAUGCAAGAAUUUUAUUAUGAUGAAAAUAUAGGGAAAAUGAUAUUUUCAUCAUUAAAAAAACAUACUACACAGAAUGCUAAUGGCAUUGCUUUAUCAAAAUUAAAAAAUAUAUUGUUGACAUUAGGUUCUGGCGUAAUGUUAACAGAAGAAGAAGUAGACACUUUUUUAAAAUGGAAUUCAGUGCAAAUGAAAAGAAAGAAAUAUUAUUUGAUGAUUUUAUACACAAGUAAAUACAAAUUAUAUUUCAUUAUUUAUUUUAUCUUACUUUUUAAAAAUCUCUUUUUUUUUUUUUCAUAUAAAAUUGUAAAUUUUAUUUGCUAUAAAAUAUAACUUAAAUUUUAUGCUUGUUAUUUAGGAUACUAAAGGAAUGAUUGACAAAAACGUUUUAUCGACAAAUAACAAAUUAUAUACGUGGAUUCCCUAUUUUUUUUUUCUUUUAUAUAUUAUGACUGACUAUAUGAACAUGCUAGAAGCAAUUUAUUUCAUUUCGUCUUUAUUCAUCAUAUAGCUUAUGUUUAAAACUUAAAAUAUAACAUUCAUUUUUUUUUCUUUUGUUUACACCACUUAUUAAAUUUAUAAAACUAAAAAAAACAUGUUAUUCAUGUUCAUUUCAAACAAAAUAAACAUUUUCUUCAAAUGCUAUUUAUAAUUUCA
Molecule: long non-coding RNA, 1580 nt
Organism: Piliocolobus tephrosceles (Ugandan red Colobus)
Lineage: Eukaryota; Metazoa; Chordata; Mammalia; Primates; Cercopithecidae
Source: Ensembl